Molecule: long non-coding RNA, 1767 nt
Organism: Oncorhynchus gorbuscha (pink salmon)
Lineage: Eukaryota; Metazoa; Chordata; Actinopteri; Salmoniformes; Salmonidae
Exons: 3
Source: RefSeq, a predicted model, not a curated record
CAUCCAGGUUACAAAAAUAAUCCAUUUACCGAAAAUAACGCUCCUCCUCUGCAGCUUGCUUCUUUCCAAAGGCACCACCUGCCUCCCUCACGGAGCCUCCUCCACCGCCUCCCUUUCCUGCUCCUUUGCCGAGCUCACCCAGCUGGAGAGGGGGAGAGAUAUCAAAUCACAGCUCGGGUCUCCCACAGAAGAAAAAAAAGUCACUGAGGCAGAUCAGGCAACAGAGGGCACACAGACAGCAGAGCUGGGGACAGGUGGGCAGGGACUGAUUGGCAGAGACAGGGAGUCUCAGGAGACAGACUGUGAAGGUGGUGAAAGGGAAAGAGACAAGGAGAGUGACUUCAGAGGACCGUGUCACAGCCACGGCAGGACCAGGUGUCAACCUUGUUGCCAGCAGCACCAGUAUAGGGGACAGUGGCACGGCCACGGCAGGACCAGGUGCCAACCUUGUUGCCAGCAGCACCAGUAUAGGGGACAGUGGCACAACCAUGGCAGGACCAGGUUUCAACCUUGUUGCCAGCAGCACCAGUAUAGGGGACAGUGGGACAGCAUUGUCCAGUUACCUCAGUGAUGGCACAAAACCAUAUCAGCCACACCCACAAUUUAUAGAACCGCAAACUCUUGCCAACAGAGUGUCGAGGUUUCAAGAGAUGGUUUUGCGAUUUCCCCUAGCUACAUUAUAAUCCAUCAGUAAAAGCAGUUUUGUGUUUUCACUGUAGCCAAGGGGCUACUUUUAGUCAGGCUCAUUGAGGUAGUAUGUACAUGUAGAUAUGGUUAGAGUGACUAUGUAUAUAUGAUGAACAGAGAGUAACAGUAGCGUAAAAGAGGGGGUUGGCGGGUGGCACACAAUGCAGAUAGCCCGGUUAGCAAAUGUGCGGGAGCACUGGUUGUUCGGCCCAAUUGAGGUAGCAUGUACAUGAAUGUAUAGUUAAAGUUGUGUUGUUGUGCGUUAAUAACAUUUAGACUACGUUACCCAGCAGGCUAUGCGGGUGGGCAGGUGGUUGAAUAAUGCCUUCCAUGGCUAAACAAGGAGUUUUUUAGCUGAAGUAUAUGUUCAUUAAAAGUAGUUAUACUUACGCCCCGGUUUGUCAUUAUACAAGGAACAAACAUAACCAAAGUGACAGCAGUAGCGCAAAGAGUGGUUGGGGGUAGCCAUUUGAUUACCUGUUCAGGAGUCUUAUGGCUUGGGGGUAAAAAAUGUUGAGAAGCCAGCCAGACAUUUUGUAUAUGUUUUAAUGACUCUAAAUAGUUUCUAAAAUAGAUUUUUUUUAUUAAGAAAAGGGGCUUUUUCUUCAAAUUUUGAUUUUGUGUAUGAAAUUUUUCCUCAUGAGCAAACAUCAGCAUAAAAAGUACCACAGUGUGAGUCAUUAUACCCAUAAAACCUAACGGUCAAACAGGGAAAUGGUUGCAAUCGUUUUUCACAUAGGGGAUUUUAGAAACUCAUAAAAUAAGGGCUCUGUUUUCUGUAGGCUUACACUAGCGUGAUGUUUCGAUAACUGUAAAUCUCUCUAGGACAAGGUGACUUUUAUCAAUAUAUUUGCCUGUAUUUACCCCCCCCAAAAAAAUGAAAUGCUAAUGUGGCUAUCAUAAAGAACUACAAAAUGCCAUGAUCUGGAUGAGGGUGCCAAUGUAAUGUAGCUACAUGUAGUUAUUCAUAAAUUAGCUAAAUUUCUUUAAAUGGACAAUUCUGUGAACUGUCUUGUGAAAUUUUCAAUUGUUGCAGGUGGUUAGAGCGUUGGACUAAUAACCGGAAGGUUGCAAGAUCGA